Molecule: ribosomal RNA, 253 nt
Filed under: uncultured bacterium
Lineage: Bacteria
Description: partial 16S ribosomal RNA
Rfam family: Bacterial small subunit ribosomal RNA
Source: RNAcentral
UACGGGGGGGGCAAGCGUUGUUCGGAAUUACUGGGCGUAAAGGGCUCGUAGGUGGCCAACUAAGUCAGACGUGAAAUCCCUCGGCUUAACCGGGGAACUGCGUCUGAUACUGGAUGGCUUGAGUUUGGGAGAGGGAUGCGGAAUUCCAGGUGUAGCGGUGAAAUGCGUAGAUAUCAGGAGGAACACCCAUGGCGAAGGCAGCAAACUGGCCGGCAUCUGACGCUGAGGCGCGAAAGCGUGGGUAGCAAACAGG